Parasteatoda tepidariorum (common house spider) is the source of this 319-nucleotide non-coding RNA. Lineage: Eukaryota; Metazoa; Arthropoda; Arachnida; Araneae; Theridiidae. The record is from RefSeq and is a predicted model, not a curated record.
UUUGAGUCUCUAAUUGUAGUACCCUCUGUAGAAUCUGUGAUCAGCAGGUCUGGCCUGCAUUUAUCAAUCCACGCAGGCCCCAAGUGACGAUCUGGAGUGGUGUUAAAACUUACUGUGUAGACUACUGAUUGUGAUCCUACUUUUAUCAAAAACAUUGCAAAACCCAAUACAUGCCCAGCAUAACAAGCUGUGAUUUCAAGGUCAUCAACAACCUGCAUAAACAAUAUUUUAUUUUAGGGUGCAUAGCCAGAUUUUUCAACAAAAAAUAAGCACUCUUUAAGUACGUUUUAUGCACUCAAAAAAUAUUUUUAAUCACUUU